UCCUCGGUAGAACGGCGGACUGUUAAUCCGUAUGUCACUGGUUCGAGUCCAGUCAGAGGAGCCA
This 64-nucleotide transfer RNA is filed under the name Enterobacter cloacae complex sp. 2DZ2F20B. RNAcentral's name for it is "tRNA-Asn". It matches the Rfam family "tRNA". From Rfam's summary of the family: Transfer RNA (tRNA) molecules are approximately 80 nucleotides in length. The record is from RNAcentral. Lineage: Bacteria; Pseudomonadati; Pseudomonadota; Gammaproteobacteria; Enterobacterales; Enterobacteriaceae.